This 563-nucleotide ribosomal RNA is filed under the name Sphingomonas melonis. Its description in RNAcentral is "bacterial SSU rRNA". It matches the Rfam family "Bacterial small subunit ribosomal RNA", at positions 41 to 649 of the family's 1533-position model. Lineage: Bacteria; Pseudomonadati; Pseudomonadota; Alphaproteobacteria; Sphingomonadales; Sphingomonadaceae. The record is from RNAcentral.
GGCAUGCCUAACACAUGCAAGUCGAACGAAGGCUUCGGCCUUAGUGGCGCACGGGUGCGUAACGCGUGGGAAUCUGCCCUCAGGUUCGGAAUAACAGCGAGAAAUUGCUGCUAAUACCGGAUGAUAUCGCGAGAUCAAAGAUUUAUCGCCUGAGGAUGAGCCCGCGUAGGAUUAGCUAGUUGGUGUGGUAAAGGCGCACCAAGGCGACGAUCCUUAGCUGGUCUGAGAGGAUGAUCAGCCACACUGGGACUGAGACACGGCCCAGACUCCUACGGGAGGCAGCAGUGGGGAAUAUUGGACAAUGGGCGAAAGCCUGAUCCAGCAAUGCCGCGUGAGUGAUGAAGGCCUUAGGGUUGUAAAGCUCUUUUACCCGGGAUGAUAAUGACAGUACCGGGAGAAUAAGCUCCGGCUAACUCCGUGCCAGCAGCCGCGGUAAUACGGAGGGAGCUAGCGUUAUUGGGAAUUACUGGGCGUAAAGCGCACGUAGGCGGCUUUGUAAGUUAGAGGUGAAAGCCAAGGAGCUCAACUCCAGAAUUGCCUUUAAGACUGCAUCGCUUGAAUCC